GAGUUUGAUCCUGGCUCAGAUUGAACGCUGGCGGCAUGCCUUACACAUGCAAGUCGAACGGUAACAGGUCUUCGGAUGCUGACGAGUGGCGAACGGGUGAGUAAUACAUCGGAACGUGCCCGAUCGUGGGGGAUAACGGAGCGAAAGCUUUGCUAAUACCGCAUACGAUCUACGGAUGAAAGCAGGGGACCGCAAGGCCUUGCGCGGACGGAGCGGCCGAUGGCAGUUUAGGUAGUUGGUGGGAUAAAAGCUUACCAAGCCGACGAUCUGUAGCUGGUCUGAGAGGACGACCAGCCACACUGGGACUGAGACACGGCCCAGACUCCUACGGGAGGCAGCAGUGGGGAAUUUUGGACAAUGGGCGAAAGCCUGAUCCAGCCAUGCCGCGUGCAGGAUGAAGGCCUCGGUGUAACGUGCUUUGUAC
This 424-nucleotide ribosomal RNA is filed under the name uncultured microorganism. RNAcentral's name for it is "bacterial SSU rRNA". It matches the Rfam family "Bacterial small subunit ribosomal RNA", at positions 9 to 440 of the family's 1533-position model. The record is from RNAcentral.